AUGAACGCUGGCGGCGUGCCUAAUACAUGCAAGUCGAGCGAACAGACGAGGAGCUUGCUCCUCUGACGUUAGCGGCGGACGGGUGAGUAACACGUGGAUAACCUACCUAUAAGACUGGGAUAACUUCGGGAAACCGGAGCUAAUACCGGAUAAUAUAUUGAACCGCAUGGUUCAAUAGUGAAAGACGGUUUUGCUGUCACUUAUAGAUGGAUCCGCGCCGCAUUAGCUAGUUGGUAAGGUAACGGCUUACCAAGGCAACGAUGCGUAGCCGACCUGAGAGGGUGAUAGGCCACACUGGAACUGAGACACGGUCCAGACUCCUACGGGAGGCAGCAGUAGGGAAUCUUCCGCAAUGGGCGAAAGCUUGACGGAGCAACGCCGCGUGAGUGAUGAAGGUCUUCGGAUCGUAAAACUCUGUUAUUAGGGAAGAACAAAUGUGUAAGUAACUAUGCACGUCUUGACGGUACCUAAUCAGAAGGCCACGGCUAACUACGUG
RNAcentral lists this ribosomal RNA (496 nucleotides) under uncultured bacterium. RNAcentral describes it as "partial 16S ribosomal RNA". It matches the Rfam family "Bacterial small subunit ribosomal RNA", at positions 29 to 507 of the family's 1533-position model. The record is from RNAcentral.